AUUUUCAAGUAGGAUUGCUUGGAAACUGGCAAGCUUGAGUGCAGGAGAGUCAUCGGAAUUCCCAGUGUAGCGGUGAAAUGCGUAGAGAUCGGGAGGAACACCAGUGGCGAAGGCGGGUGACUGGACUGCAACUGACGCUGAGGCGCGAAAGUGUGGGGAGCAAACAGGAUUAGAUACCCUGGUAGUCCACACUGUAAACGAUGAAUGCUAGGUGUAGGGGGUAUCGACCCCUUCUGUGCCGCAGUAAACACAAUAAGCAUUCCGCCUGGGGAGUACGGUCGCAAGAUUAAAACUCAAAGGAAUUGACGGGGGCCCGCACAAGCAGCGGAGCAUGUGGUUUAAUUCGAAGCAACGCGAAGAACCUUACCAGGUCUUGACAUCCAUUAAAAGCUGCAGAGAUGCAGUGUGAGCAUGCUCGUAAUGAGACAGGUGGUGCAUGGUUGUCGUCAGCUCGUGUCGUGAGAUGUUGGGUUAAGUCCCGCAACGAGCGCAACCCUUGCCAAUCGUUACUAACAGGUAAUGCUGAGGACUCAAUUGGGACUGCCGUGGACAACACGGAGGAAGGUGGGGACGACGUCAAAUCAUCAUGCCCCUUAUGACCUGGGCUACACACGUGCUACAAUGGUCGCAACAAAGAGGAGCGAAGCCGCAAGGUGGAGCAGAUCUCAAAAAAGCGAUCUCAGUUCGGAUUGUGGGCUGCAACCCGCCCACAUGAAGUCGGAGUUGCUAGUAAUCGCGAAUCAGCAUGUCGCGGUGAAUACGUUCCCGGGCCUUGUACACACCGCCCGU
This 789-nucleotide ribosomal RNA is filed under the name uncultured bacterium. RNAcentral describes it as "bacterial SSU rRNA". It matches the Rfam family "Bacterial small subunit ribosomal RNA", at positions 608 to 1397 of the family's 1533-position model. The record is from RNAcentral.